Populus nigra (black poplar) is the source of this 1074-nucleotide long non-coding RNA. RefSeq lists it as uncharacterized. Lineage: Eukaryota; Viridiplantae; Streptophyta; Magnoliopsida; Malpighiales; Salicaceae. The transcript is spliced from 2 exons. The record is from RefSeq and is a predicted model, not a curated record.
CGCUCUAACCAACUGAGCUACUCCAGCACUGUUGCUUCUGUCUGGAGCAAAUUAAGGAAGAUAAUUUCAUUGUGCUUCUUAAUCCUACCUUUAGGUAAUAUAUAACAAGAGGAGAGGAAGGGGAAUUCCAUGACAAAAGGACAAGAAAGGAAGUUGAUGCAGUAAUUGUUAGUCUGCGAGAGUUGUCUUUGUGCUUGAAUUCUUAGAGUUAGAGCAUAGCAUACAAAAAAGUCUAAAAGGGCACGCCACCAAUAAUUGUUAGUUUUUAGUGUGAAAAGACCGGAUUUUUAUACCUUUUUGAUGGUGAUUUUUGUGUAUUUUGUUGUGAAUUGGGAUUUACUGUGUUUAAUCUUGGGUAUUUGAAUGAGGAAUUUGUUAAUGUUGUAUGUGUAGCUGUUGAUUGUUUUCAGUUGUGGGGUGCUUUGUGCUUAAAUUAUUGAGGUUUUUGGUUUGUUAGUGUUUUUUUUUUCUCUCCAAUUUGUGAGGAAGAAUCUAAAGGAAGUAGACUUUGGUGAUUAGUAGCUUAAUUGAGCUCUAAUGGUGAUUGGUAACUUUAUCGAGCUUGGUUGAAUGGUUAAAUUGAAGAUUAUGUGUAGAUAGUUGUUGGAUUUUUAGUGUGGUAAAAUAAUUUUUUGUUACCAUUUUUGGGUUUCUUGCAUGUGAUCACAAAAGAGUUCAUCUUGGCUACACAGAGGGAAGAUUUGCUGAGUCAUGGAGUUGCUAUCACAAAAGAACACCGUGCACAGACAUUGUUGAUCCGUUAUCAAUUGAAUGUUGAAAAGCUACUUGCUGUGCUCGUGGAGAAGGGAAAAUCGUUCUUGUUUACUGAAGCAGUUGUGACUGUUUUUGAACAUCUCGACAAUGAUGUGCCACUGAUUUCAUCUUCUACAAUAACUUGUGAUUAUGCAUAGGGGAUGUAUCUGGUGAUAAGGUCACAAGAGUGGAAUGUGUCCAUUGUUUCUGCAAUGAUUGUAAGCAGUGCACCCAUUCUCAAGGAGUGAUUUUCUCUUUUCAGCUGUAAUCAUAUCAUUUCUGAUGUGCAUAAUUCUAUAAAUACAUUGAUUUCAGAUGUUA